Molecule: ribosomal RNA, 253 nt
Filed under: uncultured bacterium
Lineage: Bacteria
Description: partial 16S ribosomal RNA
Rfam family: Bacterial small subunit ribosomal RNA
Source: RNAcentral
UACGUAGGGUGCAAGCGUUGUCCGGAAUUAUUGGGCGUAAAGAGCUCGUAGGCGGUGUGUCACGUCUGCUGUGAAAACCCGAGGCUCAACCUCGGGCCUGCAGUGGGUACGGGCAAACUAGAGUGCGGUAGGGGAGAAUGGAAUUCCUGGUGUAGCGGUGGAAUGCGCAGAUAUCAGGAGGAACACCGAUGGCGAAGGCAGUUCUCUGGGCCGUAACUGACGCUGAGGAGCGAAAGCGUGGGGAGCGAACAGG